GGACGAUUUGACAUGCCUAAAAGUCGUUGGAAUUCUUUUAAUAAAUUUCAUAUUUUCUCUCACCAUUUCAAAUUUCCUCACGAAUGACAUAGGGCUGAUAAAGUCACCAGUGACCAGUUUGAAGUUCUUCUGCCCGAGUUAUGUUUUAGGUUAUUAUAUUUUACUUUUCAUGAGUGGCCAAAAUUUUGCAAAUACGCUGCUGUCACCUUCACAAACUAAGGGAAAUUUUAUUCUGAUGUCUUUGCUGAAAUGGUUUAUUGGGGUGCUUACAUUUCAUUGUCUUGCUGUUCUAUAUGGUGCUGCACUCCUAAGUUAUUUAGAGGAAACAUUUAUGUGGUCAGCCAUGAUGUCGACUUUAGUUGUACUUCCUUUCCUCUUGACUGAAGCGGAUAAUAUAUUUAUGGUGCUUCAAGGCAAAGGGAGGGGAAUCAAUUUUCCAUCCUGUAUUUGUGGUACAAUGGUUCUCACUCUGUUAGGAGCCUGGGUUGGAGCCUUCACCCUACCAUUGGACUGGGAUCGUGACUGGCAAGUAAGGGUCAUACUUGAACAUUUCUGUCAAAUUCAGGCAUUUUGUAUGUGAAGACGAUGUUGUGUCAUAAGACAUCAUAGCCACUUUU
Long non-coding RNA from Dendronephthya gigantea, 617 nucleotides. RefSeq lists it as uncharacterized. NCBI's taxonomy places the organism in Eukaryota, Metazoa, Cnidaria, Anthozoa, Malacalcyonacea, Nephtheidae. The transcript has 4 exons. The record is from RefSeq and is a predicted model, not a curated record.